Molecule: long non-coding RNA, 228 nt
Filed under: Capsicum annuum
Lineage: Eukaryota; Viridiplantae; Streptophyta; Magnoliopsida; Solanales; Solanaceae
Description: long non-coding RNA (CANN_LNC022374)
Source: RNAcentral
AGUACUCAGUCAAUUAGCAGAACUCAGUGAACUCAAUCCAGUUCAGUCAGUCAACACGUUUAGUGUCAGUUCAUUUAAGCCUAGUACAGUCUAGUGAUCAGUUCACUAUCGAUUUUAGUUGGGAGUAGGAUUCAGCACCGAGCAAACCUGGGGAUGGGGGCAUUCCUUCCAGCAGAGGGUUUGACCCUUAGUAGCAAUCCUUGCAUUACAUAACUACGUAGCCAGCGU